Manis pentadactyla (Chinese pangolin) is the source of this 513-nucleotide long non-coding RNA. RefSeq lists it as uncharacterized. The transcript has 3 exons. The record is from RefSeq and is a predicted model, not a curated record. Lineage: Eukaryota; Metazoa; Chordata; Mammalia; Pholidota; Manidae.
CAGGUUGCUGUGUUAUGCUGUGUGUGGCUAAGACCUCUUACCAAGAAUACCUUUGCUUUGACCCUUGUGGACAAUCAGGCCGUAGAAACCCUAAGGAGUGCUACAGCGGCAAUGAAACAACCCAACAGAGAGAGGAAGCUGAGCCUGGAUUCCAAAGAGCAUUGGAAUCAGGAUGGAUGCUUGGAAGACGUCACUGUUGGAGACCUUCCUUCUGAGAGCGGCUCUGGGAUGUUGUCCAAAACCUGUGUUUCUAACGAAUUGUGUUGCCAGAUUGAGCAAGAACCAGGCCCUUCUUUGGAACUGGGUGAACUGGGCUAAUGAAAAACAGACCCAACUCAUCCGCCAACCAGUUCUACCUAUGCCAGGAAGAAAGCCCUGACCUGGGGCUCCCACUCACCAUCUGGCAACAGUCAGAUCAUGUUCGGUUUUGCUAUCACCUGGGAAGGGCGCCAUGUCUGUAUAACUGAAAAAUUAUUUUGUUGGUUUACACAUGACUAUUUCUGUAAUGUGUUU